CCUACGGGAGGCAGCAGUGGGGAAUCUUCCGCAAUGGACGAAAGUCUGAUGGAGCAACGCCGCGUGAGUGAAGAAGGUUUUCGGAUCGUAAAACUCUGUUGUUGGAGAAGAACGUAUUUGAUAGUAACUGAUCAGGUAGUGACGGU
This 146-nucleotide ribosomal RNA is filed under the name uncultured bacterium. RNAcentral's name for it is "partial 16S ribosomal RNA". It matches the Rfam family "Bacterial small subunit ribosomal RNA", at positions 338 to 497 of the family's 1533-position model. The record is from RNAcentral.